Molecule: ribosomal RNA, 161 nt
Filed under: Thesium patulum
Lineage: Eukaryota; Viridiplantae; Streptophyta; Magnoliopsida; Santalales; Thesiaceae
Description: 5.8S ribosomal RNA
Rfam family: 5.8S ribosomal RNA
About the family: 5.8S ribosomal RNA (5.8S rRNA) is a component of the large subunit of the eukaryotic ribosome.
Source: RNAcentral
UAAAAUGACUCUCGGCAACGGAUAUCUAGGCUCUCGCAUCGAUAAAAAACGCAGCGAAAUGAGAUACUUGGUGUGAAUUGCAGAAUCCCGUGAAUCAUAGAGUCUUUGAACGCAAGUUGCGCCCGCUGUUUUGUGCCCAAGGGCAUGUCCGCCUGGGUGUC